UACGGAGGGUGCAAGCGUUAUCCGGAUUCACUGGGUUUAAAGGGUGCGUAGGUGGGCAAGUAAGUCAGUGGUGAAAUCUCCGGGCUUAACCCGGAAACUGCCAUUGAUACUAUUUGUCUUGAAUACUGUGGAGGUCAGCGGAAUAUGUCAUGUAGCGGUGAAAUGCUUAGAUAUGACAUAGAACACCAAUUGCGAAGGCAGCUGGCUACACAUAUAUUGACACUGAGGCACGAAAGCGUGGGGAUCAAACAGG
This 253-nucleotide ribosomal RNA is filed under the name uncultured bacterium. RNAcentral describes it as "partial 16S ribosomal RNA". It matches the Rfam family "Bacterial small subunit ribosomal RNA", at positions 524 to 776 of the family's 1533-position model. The record is from RNAcentral.